Long non-coding RNA from Esox lucius (northern pike), 1759 nucleotides. The record is from Ensembl. NCBI's taxonomy places the organism in Eukaryota, Metazoa, Chordata, Actinopteri, Esociformes, Esocidae.
GAGCUACAUUAAAAUAACUUACCAUAUAAAUCCAUCUCUGCAUCUAUGCUUGACCAUUUUCUGCUUGUGGUGACAGAUAGGACAUCGCAUAGACUUUUUCAGCAGUCCUUUCUUCUGGAGGUAUUUUAUAAUCUUUUUUUUAUUUCUUCUGGCGUGUUUUGCUGACAAUACAUGAAGCAGUGCAUGGGGCAUGACGAAUUCAAUGGCAUUUGGAUUUAAGCGGGAGGUUUAAAAUCUGAUCCUGUGUCUUGCAGUUACAAGUUGAAAAUUGUCAAAACUGUCGUAAAGAAAUCAAAGUAAAUUGCUACACCUACGUCAGCAGCAGGUAUUCUUCAGUGAAUGAAUUCAGGUAAAUAGCUAUAAAUGCUGCAUCAAGUUACACCAACAAUGAAAAGAUGAAAAUGAAGAUGCUCAAAAUGAAAAUAAAGGCAUUGGAGGAAGAGAGGGACUUCCUCCGAACAACUAUUACCCAGCUGACUGGACAAAGAACUUCUUCAGGACCAAGUCCUAGCUCAUCUGUGGGUGACAACUUUGCCAAGCUUGACGAUCAGUGGGAUGACAGCUCUGAUUCUUCGAGCUCUGAUAGCUCUUCAUCCACAGACAGCGAAAUAGAAAAGAAAAAGAAGAACAAGGAGAAGAAAAAGAACAAAAAUAAGAAGGAAAAAAAGGAAACUAAAAAAGGGAGAGCAAAGACCCCAGAAGAUACAAGAUGGUCCUAGCAGCAUACAAAAGGAAGGGAAGUAUGGCUGCUGCAUUCCAAACCGUGGGUGUUGACAGAAACACCGUGGCCAUGAGUUGUCACCUGGCUGUUUGUUGUCUUGCUAUCCAUCUGAGUUCAUAUACAAUCUAUCUUGCCCACAUACAUUGGAUUUUACACACCUGAAACAUGUUUUUAAUUUUGGGAAUAUAAAUUGAAUGUAUAUUCAAAUUUUUUCUGUACUUUUUUUUCUGUAUAUUAGUUUGUAAAUAUCCUAAGAGACUAGUUUCAUAAUAUUUUUUAUGUAAUUAAAUGUAUUUGUGGUUCAGUGGUAUAGGUCUUUACAUAAUUGUAAAAAUCCAUGAAAGACGUUCUUCAGAGGUAAAUGAAGAGGCCUCACUUGUGGAAUAACCCCCAUACGUGUAAUAAUGAACCACAAUUACAUGUAAUUACGUGGUAGUUCCUGUGUAACUAUAGUGCUGUUACUACAUAUAAUGCCACAUUGUUCAAGGCAACAGAUAUACACAUGAUGUACAGUGUAAGCUUUUUUUAAACAUAAUUUUUCCUUUUAAUACUCUUUAGAUAUUGGGUUUGUGUGGUCUCUGGAAACGUAGGUUGCGAUUGGCGAUUAGCAGAAAUAAUAAUGUUGAGGAAAUGGAAUGGUAGUAAUUAUAUUCUUCUGCCUCAUGUUUAAGAAUGAAAACAAGUCUAUGGUGUAGUUUAAGCCGUUUGAUGUUUAACCUCUUUUGUAAUUGUUUUUUGUGCAAAAUAAAAAUAACGCACCAUGUUUACAUCUGACUUCAGAUUAUUCUUGAAUAGUAAAUUUGUCCUCCAUGAGUCAUUGUAGAUGUUACUACAUUGAAGUGCUAGACCAUGUGUACCAAAUAUAUAUUGACAAUACUUUUCUUUGCAGGAACUGCUUUUCUUUGCAGUACUGCAUAGGUUUUUUUUGUCUUAGUAACUGCAUACUACUUGUACUACAUGGUCAUUGACAUUUUAUUAACCGGUAAAAUGGUUAACAAUAUUCAUAUUACCUUGUAAUUACACUUAGCAUAAUCAAAC